UGGGGAAUAUUGCACAAUGGGCGAAAGCCUGAUGCAGCAACGCCGCGUGAGGGACGACGGCCUUCGGGUUGUAAACCUCUUUUAGCAAGGAAGAAGCGAAAGUGACGGUACUUGCAGAAAAAGCGCCGGCUAACUACCGUGCCAGCAGCCGCGGUAAUACGUAGGGCGCAAGCGUUAUCCGGAAUUAUUGGGCGUAAAGAGCUCGUAGGCGGUUUGUCGCGUCUGCUGUGAAAACCCGAGGCUCAACCUCGGGCCUGCAGUGGGUACGGGCAGACUAGAGUGCGGUAGGGGAGAUUGGAACUCCUGGUGUAGCGGUGGAAUGCGCAGAUAUCAGGAAGAACACCGAUGGCGAAGGCAGAUCUCUGGGCCGUAACUGACGCUGAGGAGCGAAAGGGUGGGGAGCAAACAGGCUUAGAUACCCUGGUAGUCCACCCGUAAACGUUGGGAACUAGUUGUGGGGUCCAUUCCACGGAUUCCGUGACGCAGCUAACGCAUUAAGUUCCCCGCCUGGGGAGUACGGCCGCAAGGCU
RNAcentral lists this ribosomal RNA (530 nucleotides) under uncultured bacterium. RNAcentral's name for it is "partial 16S ribosomal RNA". It matches the Rfam family "Bacterial small subunit ribosomal RNA", at positions 355 to 895 of the family's 1533-position model. The record is from RNAcentral.